UCCGUAGGUGAACCUGCGGAGGGAUCAUUACCGAGUUAUCCAACUCCCAACCCCUGUGAAUUAUACCUUUAAUUGUUGCUUCGGCGGGACUUCGCGCCCGCCGGGGACCCAAACCUUCUGAAUUUUUAAUAAGUGUCUUCUGAGUGGUUAAAAAAAAAUGAAUCAAAACUUUCAACAACGGAUCUCUUGGUUCUGGCAUCGAUGAAGAACGCAGCGAAAUGCGAUAAGUAAUGUGAAUUGCAGAAUUCAGUGAAUCAUCGAAUCUUUGAACGCACAUUGCGCCCGUCAGUAUUCUGGCGGGCAUGCCUGUUCGAGCGUCAUUACGCCCCUCAAGUCCCCUGUGGACUUGGUGUUGGGGAUCGGCGAGGCUGGUUUUCCAGCACAGCCGUCCCUUAAAUUAAUUGGCGGUCUCGCCGUGGCCCUCCUCUGCGCAGUAGUAAAACACUCGCAACAGGAGCCCGGCGCGGUCCACUGCCGUAAAACCCCCCCAACUUUUUAUAGUUGACCUCGAAUCAGGUAGGACUACCCGCUGAACUUAAGCAUAUCAAUAAGCGGAGGAUAAG
Molecule: ribosomal RNA, 563 nt
Filed under: Metarhizium anisopliae
Lineage: Eukaryota; Fungi; Ascomycota; Sordariomycetes; Hypocreales; Clavicipitaceae
Description: eukaryotic LSU rRNA
Rfam family: 5.8S ribosomal RNA (bases 167-320)
Source: RNAcentral